CCAAAGGCUCUUUUAAGAGCCACUCAAUUAUUUCCAAGAAAGUAGCU
This is a non-coding RNA of Fukomys damarensis (Damara mole-rat), 47 nucleotides long. NCBI's taxonomy places the organism in Eukaryota, Metazoa, Chordata, Mammalia, Rodentia, Bathyergidae. The record is from Rfam.